AGCAGCCGCGGUAAUUCCAGCUCCAAUAGCGUAUAUUAAAGUUGUUGCAGUUAAAAAGCUCGUAGUUGAAUUUCGGGAUCAAUAUGUUGGUCGUGCCUUGGUACGUACUAAUUUAUUGGUUUCUUCCUUCUGACGAACCAUGAUGUCAUUAAUUUGGUGUCUUGGGGAAUCAGGACUGUUACUUUGAAAAAAUUAGAGUGUUUAAAGCAGGCUCACGCUUGAAUACAUUAGCAUGGAAUAAUGAAAUAGGACGUUUGAUUCUAUUUUGUUGGUUUCUAGGAUUGACGUAAUGAUUAAUAGGGAUAGUUGGGGGCAUUAGUAUUCAAUUGUCAGAGGUGAAAUUCUUGGAUUUAUUGAAGACUAACUACUGCGAAAGCAUUUGCCAAGGAUGUUUUCAUUAAUCAAGAACGAAAGUUAGGGGAUCGAAGACGAUCAGAUACCGUCGUAGUCUUAACCAUAAACUAUGCCGACUAGGGAUCGGAUGAUGUAAUUUUUAAUGACUCAUUCGGCGCCUUACGGA
RNAcentral lists this ribosomal RNA (520 nucleotides) under uncultured Glomus. Its description in RNAcentral is "SSU rRNA". It matches the Rfam family "Eukaryotic small subunit ribosomal RNA", at positions 569 to 1094 of the family's 1831-position model. The record is from RNAcentral. Lineage: Eukaryota; Fungi; Glomeromycota; Glomeromycetes; Glomerales; Glomeraceae.